CCACUGUGCCUUGAACUUGUUGACCCAUUUCUUUGGCACAUAAGACCUGCUACUCCACCAACCCAAAGGACCACCCUUUCUUUUACUCCCCACAGCAAUGGCUACGGCAGCAACAGCUGAAGAUGAUCUGGUAAAGCUGGUGCUACUAGCAAGUCUCUUCCCAGACCUCAAGAACUGGAUUCUUUUCAUGCUUUGACUGCUCAUCA
Molecule: long non-coding RNA, 206 nt
Filed under: Linum usitatissimum (flax)
Lineage: Eukaryota; Viridiplantae; Streptophyta; Magnoliopsida; Malpighiales; Linaceae
Description: long non-coding RNA (LUSI_LNC000071)
Source: RNAcentral